UGGCAAAGGUGGAGAGCAUAUGA
RNAcentral lists this unclassified non-coding RNA (23 nucleotides) under Mus musculus (house mouse). Its description in RNAcentral is "oocyte_clustered_small_RNA3841". Lineage: Eukaryota; Metazoa; Chordata; Mammalia; Rodentia; Muridae. The record is from RNAcentral.